CGCGUAGGCGGGUUGGCAAGUCUGCUGUGAAAGCCCGGUGCUUAACGCCGGAGGGUCGGUGGAUACUGCCAGUCUUGAAGGUGCUAGGGAGAGAUGGAAUUACCAGUGUAGCGGUGAAAUGCGUAGAUAUUGGUAGGAACACCAGUGGCGAAGGCGGUCUCUUGGAGCACUCUUGACGCUGAGGCGCGAAAGCUGGGGGAGCGAACGGGAUUAGAUACCCCGGUAGUCCCAGCCCUAAACGAUGGAUACUAGGUGUCGCGGGUAUGACCCCUGCGGUGCCGCCGCUAACGCAUUAAGUAUCCCGCCUGGGGAGUACGGCCGCAAGGUUGAA
RNAcentral lists this ribosomal RNA (331 nucleotides) under uncultured bacterium. Its description in RNAcentral is "bacterial SSU rRNA". It matches the Rfam family "Bacterial small subunit ribosomal RNA", at positions 568 to 898 of the family's 1533-position model. The record is from RNAcentral.